This 492-nucleotide ribosomal RNA is filed under the name uncultured bacterium. RNAcentral describes it as "partial 16S ribosomal RNA". It matches the Rfam family "Bacterial small subunit ribosomal RNA", at positions 29 to 507 of the family's 1533-position model. The record is from RNAcentral.
AGUGAACGCUGGCGGUAGGCCUAACACAUGCAAGUCGAACGGCAGCACAGUAAGAGCUUGCUCUUACGGGUGGCGAGUGGCGGACGGGUGAGGAAUACAUCGGAAUCUACUUUUUCGUGGGGGAUAACGUAGGGAAACUUACGCUAAUACCGCAUACGACCUACGGGUGAAAGCAGGGGAUCUUCGGACCUUGCGCGAUUGAAUGAGCCGAUGUCGGAUUAGCUAGUUGGUGGGGUAACGGCCCACCAAGGCGACGAUCCGUAGCUGGUCUGAGAGGAUGAGCAGUCACACUGGAACUGAGACACGGUGCAGACUCCUACGGGAGGCAGCAGGGGGGAAUAUUGGACAAUGGGCGGAAGUCUGAUCCAGCCAUGGCGCGUGUGUGAAGAAGGUCUUUGGAUUGUAAAGCAUUUUAAGGUGGGAGGAAGGGCAGUAAGUUAAUACCUUGCUGUUUUGACGUUACCAAAAGAAUAAGCACCGGCUAACUUCGUG